AGAACACGAAGUUAAAAGAGAAUGAAGAUUGAUCCAGGGACUGAGAAGUUGAAACAUAAUCAGAGUUGGACAGGACUGGAUACUACCAACUUGAUCAAGUUAGAAGUCAUGAGCUUGAAUUCCAGCUCUGCUUGUUAGCCAGUCUCAUUAAUCUUCAGACCAACAGCAGCUCUGAGAAGUAGAGAUAAAGAAACAGAGACUUCAUGGGUCCCCUACCCAGCAUGUUCUGACUCUGCCUGGAACGCUCGUUGCUGCCCUGCUGCUCUGUGACGAGAUCAUCAGUGUCAGAGAUGAGUUUCUCUUGUCCUUCAUUUGAAAGUUGUCUGCAACCACAACCUCUGAAAUCCUUCUUGGGAGCCUUCAGGUCUGUUCGGAUUAUUUACCUUGUUGCAGCAUUUCUAACCAUUUUGGCUCUGUUAUCCAGCCCAGCAUUACUUCUAAGGUCCAUCAGUUUCUGGCCCUGAGUCACUGAAGCUCUUAUUUCCCAUCACAGAAUUCUAAGAAUGUGCUCGGCAUGAGAGGCAUCGUGCAAGCUAAGGCUGCAACCAUCAGUAAUUUUACCAAGUUAAGUUUCCCAGGGCAGGUGUCAGCAGUCUUACU
This is a long non-coding RNA of Orcinus orca (killer whale), 600 nucleotides long. RefSeq lists it as uncharacterized. Lineage: Eukaryota; Metazoa; Chordata; Mammalia; Artiodactyla; Delphinidae. The transcript has 5 exons. The record is from RefSeq and is a predicted model, not a curated record.